ACUCCUACGGGAGGCAGCAGUGGGGAAUUUUGGACAAUGGACGCAAGUCUGAUCCAGCCAUUCCGCGUGCAGGAUGAAGGCCCUCGGGUUGUAAACUGCUUUUGUACGGAACGAAAAGGUCUCUAUUAAUACUAGGGGCUCAUGACGGUACCGUAAGAAUAAGCACCGGCUAACUACGUG
This 180-nucleotide ribosomal RNA is filed under the name uncultured bacterium. RNAcentral describes it as "partial 16S ribosomal RNA". It matches the Rfam family "Bacterial small subunit ribosomal RNA", at positions 335 to 507 of the family's 1533-position model. The record is from RNAcentral.